AUGGCCAAGACCAGGUCGGCGGCUCCGGCCCGCCCCUCCGCCGCCGCCACCUCCACCGCCGCAGCCACCGCCAGGAUCUCCUUCCGCUCCCGCAAGAUCGUCAAGACACCACCCGCCAAACCCCUCGCCGCGGCCACCCUGCCGCCGCCGGCGCCGCCCGCUCCGGUGCUGCCCGCGCUGUCCGCCCCGGGCGAGCUCGCGGCGGCGCUGCGCCACCUCGCGGCCGCCGACCCGCUCCUCUCCGAGGUCAUCGCCUCCACCGACGCCCUGGCUUUCACCUCCUCCCCCUCCGUCCCCGCCUUCCACUCCCUCGCGCGCUCCAUCCUCUACCAGCAGCUCGCCACCUCCGCCGCCGCCGCCAUCUACGCCCGCUUCCUCGCGCUCCUCCCCUCCGCCGCCGACGGCUCCGUGAGCCCCGCGGCCGUGCUCGCCCUCGCCGCCGCCGACCUCCGCGCCAUCGGCGUCUCCGGCCGCAAGGCCGCCUACCUGCACGACCUGGCCGCCAGGUUCGCGGCCGGGGACCUCUCCGAGUCCUCCGUCGCCGCCAUGGGCGAGGACGCGCUCCUCGCCCAGCUCACCAGGGUCAAGGGCAUCGGCGAGUGGACGGUCCACAUGUUCAUGAUCUUCUCGCUGCACCGCCCCGACGUGCUGCCGUCCGGCGACCUCGGCGUGCGCAAGGGCGUGCAGGAGCUGUACAAGCUCAAGGGGCUGCCCAAGCCGGAGGAGAUGGCCGCAUUGUGCGAGCGCUGGCGCCCGUACCGGUCGGUCGGCGCCUGGUACAUGUGGCGCCUCCUCGAGAGCAAGGGCGCCGCGGUGAAGAAGGCGAAGAAGGGCAAUGCGAGCUCCUAG
RNAcentral lists this ribosomal RNA (849 nucleotides) under Triticum aestivum (bread wheat). RNAcentral's name for it is "partial small subunit ribosomal RNA". The record is from RNAcentral. Lineage: Eukaryota; Viridiplantae; Streptophyta; Magnoliopsida; Poales; Poaceae.